Molecule: ribosomal RNA, 416 nt
Filed under: uncultured bacterium
Lineage: Bacteria
Description: bacterial SSU rRNA
Rfam family: Bacterial small subunit ribosomal RNA
Source: RNAcentral
CCGAAAGGCAGGAGUGCCUGCAAGGGAGCGCGGAGACAGGUGGUGCAUGGCUGUCGUCAGCUCGUGUCGUGAGAUGUUGGGUUAAGUCCCGCAACGAGCGCAACCCUCACCUCUUGUUGCCAUCAGGUCAUGCUGGGCACUCUAGAGGAACUGCCCCGGUCAACGGGGAGGAAGGCGGGGAUGACGUCAAGUCAUCAUGCCCCUUACGUCCUGGGCUACACACGUGCUACAAUGGCCGGUACAAAGGGAUGCCACACCGCGAGGUAGAGCUAAACCCAAAAAGCCGGUCUAAGUUCGGAUUGGAGUCUGCAACUCGACUCCAUGAAGGAGGAAUCGCUAGUGAUCGCGUAUCAGCACGACGCGGUGAAUACGUUCCCGGGCCUUGUACACACCGCCCGUCACGCCACGAAAGCCAG